UGAACGCUGGCGGCAGGCCUAACACAUGCAAGUCGAACGGUAACAGGAAGAAGCUUGCUUCUUUGCUGACGAGUGGCGGACGGGUGAGUAAUGUCUGGGAAACUGCCUGAUGGAGGGGGAUAACUACUGGAAACGGUAGCUAAUACCGCAUAACGUCGCAAGACCAAAGAGGGGGACCUUCGGGCCUCUUGCCAUCGGAUGUGCCCAGAUGGGAUUAGCUUGUUGGUGGGGUAACGGCUCACCAAGGCGACGAUCCCUAGCUGGUCUGAGAGGAUGACCAGCCACACUGGAACUGAGACACGGUCCAGACUCCUACGGGAGGCAGCAGUGGGGAAUAUUGCACAAUGGGCGCAAGCCUGAUGCAGCCAUGCCGCGUGUAUGAAGAAGGCCUUCGGGUUGUAAAGUACUUUCAGCGGGGAGGAAGGGAGUAAAGUUAAUACCUUUGCUCAUUGACGUUACCCGCAGAAGAAGCACCGGCUAACUCCGUGCCAGCAGCCGCGGUAAUACGGAGGGUGCAAGCGUUAAUCGGAAUUACUGGGCGUAAAGCGCACGCAGGCGGUUUGUUAAGUCAGAUGUGAAAUCCCCGGGCUCAACCUGGGAACUGCAUCUGAUACUGGCAAGCUUGAGUCUCGUAGAGGGGGGUAGAAUUCCAGGUGUAGCGGUGAAAUGCGUAGAGAUCUGGAGGAAUACCGGUGGCGAAGGCGGCCCCCCUGGACGAAGACUGACGCUCAGGUGCGAAAGCGUGGGGGAGCAAAACAGGAUUAGAUACCCUGGUAGUCCACGCCGUAAACGAUGUCGACUUGGAGGUUGUGCCCUUGAGGCGUGGCUUCCGGAGCUAACGCGUUAAGUCGACCGCCUGGGGAGUACGGCCGCAAGGUUAAAACUCAAAUGAAUUGACGGGGGCCCGCACAAGCGGUGGAGCAUGUGGUUUAAUUCGAUGCAACGCGAAGAACCUUACCUGGUCUUGACAUCCACAGAACUUUCCAGAGAUGGAUUGGUGCCUUCGGGAACUGUGAGACAGGUGCUGCAUGGCUGUCGUCAGCUCGUGUUGUGAAAUGUUGGGUUAAGUCCCGCAACGAGCGCAACCCUUAUCCUUUGUUGCCAGCGGUCCGGCCGGGAACUCAAAGGAGACUGCCAGUGAUAAACUGGAGGAAGGUGGGGAUGACGUCAAGUCAUCAUGGCCCUUACGACCAGGGCUACACACGUGCUACAAUGGCGCAUACAAAGAGAAGCGACCUCGCGAGAGCAAGCGGACCUCAUAAAGUGCGUCGUAGUCCGGAUUGGAGUCUGCAACUCGACUCCAUGAAGUCGGAAUCGCUAGUAAUCGUGGAUCAGAAUGCCACGGUGAAUACGUUCCCGGGCCUUGUACACACCGCCCGUCACACCAUGGGAGUGGGUUGCAAAAGAAGUAGGUAGCUUAACCUUCGGGAGGGCGCUUACCACUUUGUGAUUCAUGACUGGGGUGAAGUC
This 1470-nucleotide ribosomal RNA is filed under the name uncultured organism. RNAcentral describes it as "16S ribosomal RNA". It matches the Rfam family "Bacterial small subunit ribosomal RNA". The record is from RNAcentral.